Molecule: ribosomal RNA, 505 nt
Filed under: uncultured bacterium
Lineage: Bacteria
Description: partial 16S ribosomal RNA
Rfam family: Bacterial small subunit ribosomal RNA
Source: RNAcentral
GACGAACGCUGGCGGCGUGCCUAAUACAUGCAAGUAGAACGCACAGUUUAUACCGUAGCUUGCUACACCAUAGACUGUGAGUUGCGAACGGGUGAGUAACGCGUAGGUAACCUGCCUGGUAGCGGGGGAUAACUAUUGGAAACGAUAGCUAAUACCGCAUAAUAUUAAUUAUUGCAUGAUAAUUAAUUGAAAGGUGCAAUUGCACCACUACCAGAUGGACCUGCGUUGUAUUAGCUAGUAGGUGAGGUAACGGCUCACCUAGGCGACGAUACAUAGCCGACCUGAGAGGGUGAUCGGCCACACUGGGACUGAGACACGGCCCAGACUCCUACGGGAGGCAGCAGUAGGGAAUCUUCGGCAAUGGACGAAAGUCUGACCGAGCAACGCCGCGUGAGUGAAGAAGGUUUUCGGAUCGUAAAGCUCUGUUGUAAGAGAAGAACGGGUGUGAGAGUGGAAAGUUCACACUGCGACGGUAUCUUACCAGAAAGGGACGGCUAACUACGUG